Molecule: non-coding RNA, 29 nt
Filed under: Rattus norvegicus (Norway rat)
Lineage: Eukaryota; Metazoa; Chordata; Mammalia; Rodentia; Muridae
Source: RNAcentral
UUUAUGAGUAUGUGUGCAUGAGUCUGCAU